Molecule: ribosomal RNA, 378 nt
Filed under: uncultured eukaryote
Lineage: Eukaryota
Description: partial 18S ribosomal RNA
Rfam family: Eukaryotic small subunit ribosomal RNA
Source: RNAcentral
CAAUAGCGUAUAUUAAAGUUGUUGCAGUUAAAAAGCUCGUAGUUGGAUUUCGGGACGGUCCGGCUGGUCCGCCGCAAGGCGUGUUACUGACCGGGCUGUCCUUCUUUGCAAAGGCUGCAUGUGCUCUUAACUGAGUGUGUGUAGGAUUUGUGACGUUUACUUUGAAAAAAUUAGAGUGUUCAAAGCAGGCCAGCGCUUGAAUACAUAAGCAUGGAAUAAUGGAAUAGGACUUUGGUUCUAUUUUGUUGGUUUCUGGAACCGAAGUAAUGAUUGAAAGGGACAGUUGGGGGCAUUUGUAUUUCGGUGCUAGAGGUGAAAUUCUUAGAUUACCGAAAGACAAACUGCUGCGAAAGCGUCUGCCAAGGAUGUUUUCAUUGA